AAAAAAAGACAAAGUUUCUUUCUUCAUCAAUUCAUCGACUACGGAAUCCAGAUUAUCAUUGAACUCUUUACUAUGUCGUUCCUUGAGCCCUAAAUAGUUAUUUGGGGACCGCCUCAAGAAAAUCCCCAAUCCCUGCUUUUUAUUUAUUUAUUUAUUUUAUCACACUCUUCUCACAACAAUCUCCAAGUUAGGUUUCUCUUUUGAUUUCUUGCUUAGGGUUUCUUGGUUGUGUCUUCAUUAGGGGCUAAUUUUGUGUUUCUUUACAAAUUUCCGUCGACGUCAGUUUUUCAUCUUUUCAUCUGGCCAAUGAUUUUUAGGCACAUGUUAUUAACGAUUUUGAGGGUGAGGUGGGAACGGGGAUUAGCCUACAAAUCAUGGAUUUCAACCCACACCACUCAUUUAAGUUAAUGUGUUAGACAAUAGAUACCUAUACAGAUGUAGAUAGUGGUGUUCAUCAGUUCGGUUUUGUAACAUCCGUUCUCUCGUACGAUCAAUAUUGUGUGUGUAUUUUGUCCACAAGAAGCUCAUGGACGUGUUAUUGGCUCUCCCAGUGGAGAUUUCCAAGGUGGUAACCUAUCCAGGUAUUACUCCCACCUAAGCAUGCUUAAUUGUGAAGUUCUCUCAUCCACAACCGACGCGAACAAAUCGUGUUGAUGAUAUUUGAGGCGGGACAAACUCAACUGAAAGUUAGCUCCAAAUCAAGAAUUCAAAACAUUGUUGGAGAUACCAUCCCUACAAAUUCUCAACUGGAAAAUCAUUCAGGUAGCCUAUUAGAAGUUUCCAUAUGCACGUUCUUCCUGUAUGUGUAUGGAACAUUUAUGACCAAUAAGAUCUCUAAACUUGUUUCGGAUGGUUUGAUCUUGUCGUCUAUUCCACAAGUCUGGAAUGGAAGAAGUGAGCAUUUGGGGAAUGACUUUUUGAGACUGCUGGAUUGCUUUACAACUGAUUUCCAUUCAAGAUCAUUCACUGGUCAGGAAGAGUCAGUCAGUCACAGAGUGGUCAAUGAAGAGUUGAUUUGUUCAAUUCGAAAAGCAAAUACUUCAUGGGAACAAGGAAAGUGUAGUAAUUAUAUAUGGCGUUUGGAUGAACAUACCUGGAUCCUAUGCAGUUAUUGCGGUUUCACGGGUCGGAUAACUGUAUUGAGAAUUCAUUUCUUGGAAAACUUGUAGCGCAAGAUCAGAGCGUUUCUUUUCACAAAGAACAUCAAUCAGCCAGUGAUAUGGCUUCAUUCAGCAUUCCCGCUUUUGCAUACGCUCUAAUUGAAGUUGAAAAGACUGAAUCUUGGCACUCGCAUGAAUCCUCUUUCAUCUGAUCAAUUACUUGUUUCAUAUCAGCGAUCCG
This is an RNA transcript of Helianthus annuus (common sunflower), 1341 nucleotides long. RefSeq lists it as uncharacterized. The record is from RefSeq and is a predicted model, not a curated record. The transcript has 4 exons. NCBI's taxonomy places the organism in Eukaryota, Viridiplantae, Streptophyta, Magnoliopsida, Asterales, Asteraceae.